Molecule: long non-coding RNA, 1419 nt
Filed under: Gadus morhua (Atlantic cod)
Lineage: Eukaryota; Metazoa; Chordata; Actinopteri; Gadiformes; Gadidae
Description: lncRNA (ENSGMOG00000029569.1)
Source: RNAcentral
AUGAGGAGCCUCAGGAUUUCAGGAGCUUUUCUGCGUGACCUGUUGGUUAACCAACAAAUCCUGAUGGACCAGCAAAAGACCAUGAUACGCAUGAUCCAAGACCUCCACAGAUCCAUCCAGGGAGGUCAGAGGAUGUCCACCACCUCCAGGCAUAAUGCUGCCUAUUCUCCGUUGGGGGAUAAACUGGCUCUGGAGGAGGCCCUGGAGGGUGACCUGGCAAGCCAGCGGGACCUUCGUCAUGAAUUGGGGAGCUGCUUUUGAUUUUCUUUGUUUACCAUACAUAGACGAAUGUGUGGCGCAGCGCCACAGAAUCAACACAGAGCGCCAAAUUGAUUCUGCUUCUUUUUUUCUUUUUUUUUGCGAUUUUUAAUUUUAAUCAUCGUUCCGUUCAUUCAUCUCCUCAGCACUCUUUCUCCCUGACAUUCUCGUUCACACACGCAUACGCACACGAACACGCACAGAGACAAGUGCGCAUUCAUGCCAGUGGUGCGCUGGUACACUAAACAGCAGAUUCGCCCUUCCUCCUCUCAACGCGCCUAUCAAAGGAAAACCCGAAGCAGCGGUAUUUUUGGCACAGAGAAGACGUUUUACCAAAGUUUAGUAGCCUAUGAUAUAGGCUACCAUGCUAAAAAAGACCUGGCCAUAAUUAUUGUUAAUUCAAAAUUAUUCUUAACUAAAACGAUGCGAUUAAUAUGAAACACGGCCGUAAUAAUCUAAUUGUAUAUUAUCACUCUUGGAUUGGCAGAGGGAGCUGAUGCCUAAGACACAGUGUGGCGCAUUCUCAAACAGGCCGUCAAAAAUGACCUUGCAGAGAACAUCUCAUGGCGGGAGAUGAAUGGAAAGAUUUCAUUCGAAAAACUACAUCUGAAGGCAGUAGUGAUGGGUAAGCAUUUUAACUGUUCAUAUCACAAGCAUCCUGUUCUAGGCUCUGAUAAAUCUUCUCCCAAGAAUCCUGCACCUGCGGAUUCUAUCAGGCUGAAACCAUCAGUCUGAACUGAACUCAAAGCACUUUUGAAAUGAUUCUGGGAGACAACACACAGCCCACACAGCCACAGAGCAUGCACCUAUCUCCCACAUGAUGAGUUAUAUUGGCAAUGCUUACAGUUGGGAAUAAGAUUGUAGCAUGCAUUACAGUAUUGCUGUUUGAAUCCAGUUAUAUCUGUUAAAAUCACUGACACAAACUUUCUUUGUGCCUUCAAUUUCAGAUGCAGUGAGGCGCAAUCCAUCCUGCUCAUCCGCAACGGAUGUGCAGAUUGCGGAUGCCAUUAAACAAAGGUUUUUUUUAUUGGGCUGGGAAAAGGGAGGGAGGGAGGAAUUAACGCCAGCCGGCUCCAAACCAGGAGCAAACUGAUUAAAUCUAAUAAAAGAUACUACUUUAAAAUAUUUUGUUUCAUUAUUUGUGCAUUAUACACAUAGAAC